This 497-nucleotide ribosomal RNA is filed under the name uncultured bacterium. RNAcentral describes it as "partial 16S ribosomal RNA". It matches the Rfam family "Bacterial small subunit ribosomal RNA", at positions 28 to 507 of the family's 1533-position model. The record is from RNAcentral.
GAUGAACGCUGGCGGCGUGCCUAAUACAUGCAAGUCGAGCGAACAGACGAGGAUCUUGCUCCUCUUACGUUAGCGGCGGACGGGUGAGGAACACGUGGAUGACCGACCUAUAAGACUGGGAUAACGUCGGGAAACCGGAUCUAGUACAGGAUAAGAUAUAGAACGGCAUGGUUCUAUAGUGAAAGACGUUUCAGCUGUCACUUAGAGAUGUAUGGACGCCGCAGUAGCUAGUUGGUAAGGUGACGGCUUACCAAGGCGACUAUGCGUAGCCGAACUGAGAGGAAGAUCAGUCACACGUGAAAUAGGACACGAUCCAGACACCUACAGGAGGCAGCAGUGUGGAAUAUUGGACAAUGGACGAAAGACUUAACCAUGCAUGCCGCGUGUGAGAAGAAAGUGUUCGGAUUGUAAAGCACUUUAAGGUGGGAGAAAGGGCAGUAAGUUAAUACCUUGCUGUAUUGACGUUACCAACAGGAUAGGCACCGGCUAACUUCGUG